UUGGAGGGCAAGUCUGGUGCCAGCAGCCGCGGUAAUUCCAGCUCCAAUAGCGUAUAUUAAAGUUGUUGCAGUUAAAAAGCUCGUAGUUGAAUUUCGGGAUUUGUCAGUUGGUCGGGCUUCACUGUCCGUAUUGACUUGAUGGAUUCUUACCUUCUGAAUAACCAGCAUGCUAUUAAUUUAGUGCGUUGGGGAAGCAGAUCUAUUACCUUGAAAAAAUUAGAGUGCUUAAAGCGAGCUAGUGCUUGAAUAGAUUAGCAUGGAAUAAUAAAAUAGGACGGCAUGGUUCUAUUUUGUUGGUUUCUAGAAUCACCGUAAUGAUUAAUAGGGAUAGUUGGGGGCAUUAGUAUUCAAUUGUCAGAGGUGAAAUUCUUGGAUUUAUUGAAGACUAACUUCUGCGAAAGCAUUUGCCAAGGAUGUUUUCAUUAAUCAAGAACGAAAGUUAGGGGAUCGAAGACGAUCAGAUACCGUCGUAGUCUUAACCAUAAACUAUGCCGACUAGGAAUCGGACGAUGUUAAUUUUUUAAUGACUCAUUCGGCGCCUUACGGGAAAC
Molecule: ribosomal RNA, 551 nt
Filed under: uncultured Acaulospora
Lineage: Eukaryota; Fungi; Glomeromycota; Glomeromycetes; Diversisporales; Acaulosporaceae
Description: SSU rRNA
Rfam family: Eukaryotic small subunit ribosomal RNA
Source: RNAcentral